GCUGCUGAAGGAGAUGCUGCUGCUGCUGCUGCUGGUGCUGAUGCUGCUGUGACGGCGUCUGCUGCUGCUGCUGCUGCUGCUGCUGCUGC
RNAcentral lists this small RNA (89 nucleotides) under Drosophila guanche. Lineage: Eukaryota; Metazoa; Arthropoda; Insecta; Diptera; Drosophilidae. The record is from RNAcentral.